Molecule: ribosomal RNA, 253 nt
Filed under: uncultured bacterium
Lineage: Bacteria
Description: partial 16S ribosomal RNA
Rfam family: Bacterial small subunit ribosomal RNA
Source: RNAcentral
UACGUAGGGUGCGAGCGUUAAUCGGAAUUACUGGGCGUAAAGCGUGCGCAGGCGGUUCGUUAAGUCAGAUGUGAAAGCCCCGGGCUCAACCUGGGAACUGCAUUUGAAACUGGCGGGCUUGAGUGUGACAGAGGGGGGUGGAAUUCCGCGUGUAGCAGUGAAAUGCGUAGAGAUGCGGAGGAACACCGAUGGCGAAGGCAGCCCCCUGGGCCAACACUGACGCUCAGGCACGAAAGCGUGGGGAGCAAACAGG